Molecule: ribosomal RNA, 494 nt
Filed under: uncultured bacterium
Lineage: Bacteria
Description: partial 16S ribosomal RNA
Rfam family: Bacterial small subunit ribosomal RNA
Source: RNAcentral
GACGAACGCUGGCGGCGCGCUUAACACAUGCAAGUCGAACGGAAAGGCCUGCUUUCCCUUGUGGAUUGCGGGUACUCGAGUGGCGAACGGGUGAGUAACACGUGAGUGAUCUGCCCCCAACUUGGGUAUAAGCCUGGGAAACUGGGUCUAAUUCCCGAUAGGACUGCAGGGUGGUGCCUGUGGUGGAAAACGAUUUUCUAGUGGUUGGGGAUGAGCUCGCGGCCUAUCAGCUUGUUGGUGGGGUAAUGGCCUACCAAGGCGGCGACGGGUAGCCGGCCUGGGAGGGUGGACGGCCACAUUGGGACUGAGACACGGCCCAGACUCCUACGGGAGGCAGCAGUGGGGAAUAUUGCACAAUGGGCGGAAGCCUGAUGCAGCGACGCCGCGUGGGGGAUGACGGCCUUCGGGUUGUAAACUCCUUUCGACCGCGGGGAAGCCACCUGGUUGGAAGGGUGGUGACGGUAGUGGUAGAAGAAGCACCGGCUAACUACGUG